AAAUCAUGGUAAGGGCAUUGUCUAAAUAAACCCUUAAAUCUAUCCAUGCUUCAAAUAGUGAUUCCCCAUCCAUCUGAAGAAAUCUUUGGAUUCUAUUCCUCAUAU
Small nucleolar RNA from Zingiber officinale, 105 nucleotides. The record is from RefSeq and is a predicted model, not a curated record. Lineage: Eukaryota; Viridiplantae; Streptophyta; Magnoliopsida; Zingiberales; Zingiberaceae.